CCUGGCUUUAUCCAAUCAGAUUUUCGACAUCUUUAAGUAUACAAAAUCUUUAACAUCAGCUCUACAAUCUUAAUGCUAAUAAAGCUGGAAAAUGUAAAGGUUCCAUGCCAUGUUCUGUAUUUUGAUAAUUGGACAGGUCUGUUGGCUAUCACCCCUUCUGUUCCGUCAUAGCUUUGGAAACAGUUUAUGUCACAGAGGAGUAAUGGCAGCUCUGUAAGGUGGUUGCAGUUUGGCUAAUGAGCCUUUUUUCAUAAUGUGGCUGAUUAUCUCAGGAGACAUGAGCUGAAGGGUCUGCAUUAAUCCCAGUCUGAAACAAACCCAGGAACAGAACUCUGAGGCCUGUGUUUUCUGUUGGGAAAUGUGCCUGUCCCAGGGACUCAGGUGGAGAGCUGCUGUGCUGUCCAGGGACCAGAUCAGCUGGAGGAAGACCAGAAGCAAAUAAUGACAGCACAGCAGCAGCUUGCAACUGAACUGGAAGAUUUUCCAGGAUUAGAAGGUGCAAAGCUUGGUGUGAACCUUCUGGUUCCCCCCAAAGUGCAUGGCCUUUAUAUAUAUAUAUAUAUAUAUAUAUAUAUAUAA
RNAcentral lists this long non-coding RNA (579 nucleotides) under Cyanistes caeruleus (blue tit). RNAcentral describes it as "lncRNA (ENSCCEG00000009507.1)". Lineage: Eukaryota; Metazoa; Chordata; Aves; Passeriformes; Paridae. The record is from RNAcentral.